Molecule: ribosomal RNA, 253 nt
Filed under: uncultured bacterium
Lineage: Bacteria
Description: partial 16S ribosomal RNA
Rfam family: Bacterial small subunit ribosomal RNA
Source: RNAcentral
GACAGAGGUGCCAAGCGUUAGGCGGAAUCACUGGGCUUAAAGCGUGUGUAGGCGGAUCGUUAAGUACCUUGUGAAAUCCCACGGCUCAACCGUGGAACUGCUGGGUAUACUGGCGAUCUUGAGCCACCUAGGGGCGAGCGGAACAAGCGGUGGAGCGGUGAAAUGCGUAGAGAUCGGAAAGAACACCAACGGCGAAAGCACUCUGCUGGGCCGACACUGACACUGAGAGACGAAAGCUAGGGGAGCGAAUGGG